This is a long non-coding RNA of Brienomyrus brachyistius, 905 nucleotides long. RefSeq lists it as uncharacterized. The record is from RefSeq and is a predicted model, not a curated record. The transcript is spliced from 4 exons. NCBI's taxonomy places the organism in Eukaryota, Metazoa, Chordata, Actinopteri, Osteoglossiformes, Mormyridae.
AGCGACCCCGGACAGGAAAACACGGAUCCAGAGGUGCAAACCAACGGUAGGUUUAUUGGCGCUAGCCAGGCAAAAGCACAGCGAGGGAUUGGCAAAAGUCGAGGUCGUUGGACGGGCAGAGAGGUCGGGAUCCGGGUUGUCAGUCCUACAGAAAGGCACGAGACGAGACCACACGAGGGAGCGGGAAGGAGACGUGCCGGGUUCGGCCGGGAAGACAGGUCAGGAUCGGGUCUGGAGAAGGAAAGAGAGACAGGCAAGGAGCAAACACAAGGUAAACGGAUCAGGCGGGGAAGAAGAGGGAGACGACAGACAAAAAAACCGCUCGGUUCAUCGACACAUUAAGGUGCUCCGCUGACCCCUGACGCUGCAGUGAAGCAGAGAGGUCAAACUCUUCCCUCUGUCACUUCUGAGGCAUGCGGCUCAAUAGGGUUUGCAGAUUGCAAUCUGCAGCUGAAGUAACACACAGAGGCACGGAAGUCAACUCAUCUGAUGAAUUAAUUGGGUCACGCCUGCUGUUAAAUGAGAAUGUCGAAUGAGAAGACUUCAUUGGAUUUUCUCGUGAAUGUGGUAAGUCGCAUGGUCCCACGCUGACAGACCAUUUAUCAUCUCAGUGUUUGUGGGAAUGUGUGACUGAUGGAACCUGGCUGGACUUCUGAUGGAACAUUGCUGUAAUUCUGAUGGAACAUUGCUGGACUUCUGAUAGAACAUUGCUGUAAUUCUGAGGGAACAUUGCUGGACUUCUGAUGGAACAUUGCUGGACUUCUGAUGAAACAUUACUGUAAUUCUGAUGGAACAUUGCUGGACCUCUGAUAGAACAUUGCUGUAAUUCUGAUGGAACAUUGCUGGACUUCUGAUGGAACAUUGCUGGACUUCUGAUGGAACAUUGCUGUAAUUCUGAUGGAACA